CCUACGGGGUGCAGCAGUGAGGAAUAUUGGUCAAUGGGCGCGAGCCUGAACCAGCCAAGUAGCGUGAAGGAUGACUGCCCUACGGGUUGUAAACUUCUGUUAUAAAGGAAUAAAGUGAGGCACGUGUGCCUUUUUGUAUGUACGUUAUGAAUAAGGAUCGGCUAACUCCGUGCCAGCAGCCGCGGUAAUACGGAGGAUCCGAGCGUUGUCCCGGUUUAUUGGGUUUAAAGGGAGCGUAGAUGGGUUUUUAAGUCAGUUGUGAAAGUUUGCGGCUCAACCGUAAAAUUGCAAUUGAUACUGUCAGCCUUGAGUACAGUUGAGGUCGGCGGAAUUCGUGGUGUAGCGGUGAAAUGCUUAGAUAUCACGAAGAACUCCGAUUGCGAAGGCAGCUUACUAAACUGCCACUGACAUUGAUGCUCGAAAGUGUGGGUAUCAAACAGGAUUAGAUACCCGGGUAGUC
RNAcentral lists this ribosomal RNA (460 nucleotides) under uncultured bacterium. RNAcentral describes it as "partial 16S ribosomal RNA". It matches the Rfam family "Bacterial small subunit ribosomal RNA", at positions 338 to 795 of the family's 1533-position model. The record is from RNAcentral.